This 1437-nucleotide ribosomal RNA is filed under the name uncultured organism. Its description in RNAcentral is "SSU rRNA". It matches the Rfam family "Bacterial small subunit ribosomal RNA". The record is from RNAcentral.
CGCUAGCUACAGGCUUAACACAUGCAAGUCGAGGGGCAGCAUGGUCUUAGCUUGCUAAGGCCGAUGGCGACCGGCGCACGGGUGAGUAACGCGUAUCCAACCUGCCUUACACUCUUGGACAGCCUUCUGAAAGGGAGAUUAAUACAAGAUGUUAUCAUGAGUAAGCAUUUUCGCAUGAUUAAAGGUUUACCGGUGUAAGAUGGGGAUGCGUUCCAUUAGAUAGUAGGCGGGGUAACGGCCCACCUAGUCUUCGAUGGAUAGGGGUUCUGAGAGGAAGGUCCCCCACAUUGGAACUGAGACACGGUCCAAACUCCUACGGGAGGCAGCAGUGAGGAAUAUUGGUCAAUGGACGAGAGUCUGAACCAGCCAAGUAGCGUGAAGGAUGAAGGUUCUAUGGAUUGUAAACUUCUUUUAUACGGGAAUAAACGAAUCCACGCGUGGAUUUUUGCAUGUACCGUAUGAAUAAGGAUCGGCUAACUCCGUGCCAGCAGCCGCGGUAAUACGGAGGAUCCGAGCGUUAUCCGGAUUUAUUGGGUUUAAAGGGAGCGUAGAUGGGUUGUUAAGUCAGUUGUGAAAGUUUGCGGCUCAACCGUAAAAUUGCAAUUGAUACUGGCAGUCUUGAGUACAGUUGAGGUAGGCGGAAUUCGUGGUGUAGCGGUGAAAUGCUUAGAUAUCACGAAGAACUCCGAUUGCGAAGGCAGCUUACUAACCUGUAACUGACAUUGAUGCUCGAAAGUGUGGGUAUCAAACAGGAUUAGAUACCCUGGUAGUCCACACGGUAAACGAUGAAUACUCGCUGUAGGCGAUAUACAGUCUGCGGCCAAGCGAAAGCAUUAAGUAUUCCACCUGGGGAGUACGCCGGCAACGGUGAAACUCAAAGGAAUUGACGGGGGCCCGCACAAGCGGAGGAACAUGUGGUUUAAUUCGAUGAUACGCGAGGAACCUUACCCGGGCUUAAAUUGCAACCGAAUAUGGCGGAAACGCUAUAGCUAGCAAUAGCGGUUGUGAAGGUGCUGCAUGGUUGUCGUCAGCUCGUGCCGUGAGGUGUCGGCUUAAGUGCCAUAACGAGCGCAACCCUUGCCGAUAGUUACUAACAGGUCAUGCUGAGGACUCUGUCGGGACUGCCAUCGUAAGAUGUGAGGAAGGUGGGGAUGACGUCAAAUCAGCACGGCCCUUACGUCCGGGGCUACACACGUGUUACAAUGGGGGGUACAGAGGGCUGCUACCACGCAAGUGGAUGCCAAUCCCAAAAACCUCUCUCAGUUCGGAUUGAAGUCUGCAACCCGACUUCAUGAAGCUGGAUUCGCUAGUAAUCGCGCAUCAGCCACGGCGCGGUGAAUACGUUCCCGGGCCUUGUACACACCGCCCGUCAAGCCAUGGGAGCCGGGGGUACCUGAAGUGCGUAACCGCAAGGAGCGCCCUAGGGUAAAACUGGAA